UAUAAGAAGAGGAAGAUCGACCAGAGCUCUCUCUCUCUUCUCUAGGCAUGUGCUCUGAGAAAAGGUCAUCUGAGGACAAAGUACCCGUCUGCAAGCCAGGAAGAGAGCCCUUGCCAGAAACUAAACCCCGCUGGAAACUUGAUUUUGCGCUUUCCAGCCUCUAGAACUAAUAUGUGAAAAACAUUUAAAUCAGAAAGUAAAUGACAGGAUGAUUUGCAAGACACAGGGAUGUAAAAUUAAAAAGCCUCUCGAGCUCCAAAGGGGGAUGCAUCAGGACGAUAAUUCCAAGAGUUCAAUGGUGAAUUUCCUUGGCUUCCACUGAGAAAUUACUGUUUAAUAUUAUAUCAUGUUGAAUUUUUCCCAAUGGUAAUCUUAUGAUGGCUGCAGCUACCUGUUAACUUCAACAAGCACACUGGCCUGGAGACUACAUGAUGGUGUAUCAGUAAUGGAUUUACAACUGCAAACAUCUCAAGCAGCAGUGCCACAUCCCUGCUACCUCCCUGCUUGUGCGUGUGUCCCUACAUUAUCCAAAAUAGGGGUGGGCUAAUGACGAUUGCAGGCUAACUCCAGCCUACCACUUGCUUCUAUAAAUAAAGUCUUAUUGUACACAAACAUAGCCAUUUAUUUA
This 628-nucleotide long non-coding RNA is filed under the name Homo sapiens (human). RNAcentral's name for it is "HSALNT0328060". Lineage: Eukaryota; Metazoa; Chordata; Mammalia; Primates; Hominidae. The record is from RNAcentral.